CCUACGGGCUGCUGCAGUGGGGAAUAUUGGACAAUGGGCGAAAGCCUGAUCCAGCCAUGCCGCGUGUGUGAAGAAGGCCUUCGGGUUGUAAAGCACUUUCAGUGGGGAAGAAAGCCUUGGGGCUAAUACCCUCGAGGAAGGACAUCACCCACAGAAGAAGCACCGGCUAACUCCAUGCCAGCAGCCGCGGUAAUACGGAGGGUGCGAGCGUUAAUCGGAAUUACUGGGCGUAAAGCGCGCGUAGGCGGUCUGAUAAGCCGGUUGUGAAAGCCCCGGGCUCAACCUGGGAACGGCAUCCGGAACUGUCAGGCUAGAGUGCAGGAGAGGAAGGUAGAAUUCCCGGUGUAGCGGUGAAAUGCGUAGAGAUCGGGAGGAAUACCAGUGGCGAAGGCGGCCUUCUGGACUGACACUGACGCUGAGGUGCGAAAGCGUGGGUAGCAAACAGGAUUAGAUACCCGAGUAGUC
Molecule: ribosomal RNA, 465 nt
Filed under: Vreelandella stevensii
Lineage: Bacteria; Pseudomonadati; Pseudomonadota; Gammaproteobacteria; Oceanospirillales; Halomonadaceae
Description: partial 16S ribosomal RNA
Rfam family: Bacterial small subunit ribosomal RNA
Source: RNAcentral